Molecule: ribosomal RNA, 379 nt
Filed under: uncultured eukaryote
Lineage: Eukaryota
Description: partial 18S ribosomal RNA
Rfam family: Eukaryotic small subunit ribosomal RNA
Source: RNAcentral
CAAUAGCGUAUAUUAAAGUUGUUGCAGUUAGAACGCUCGUAGUCGGAUUUCGGGGCGGGCCGACCGGUCUGCCGAUGGGUACGCACUGGUCGGCGCGUCCUUCCUUCCGGAGACCGUGCCUACUCUUAACUGAGCGGGCGCGGGAGACGGAACUUUUACUUUGAAAAAAUCAGAGUGUUUCAAGCAGGCAUUGCGCUCUUGCAUGGAUUAGCAUGGGAUAAUGAAAUAGGACUUUGGUGCUAUUUUGUUGGUUUCGAACACCGAAGUAAUGAUUAAUAGGGACAGUCAGGGGCACUCGUAUUCCGCCGAGAGAGGUGAAAUUCUCAGACCAGCGGAAGACGAACCACUGCGAANGNAUUUGCNAGGGAUGUUUNCACUG